AAAUAACAUUGACUUGUAUUUUAAAAGGAAAAAUACUUUGAAGUUAAUACCAAGUAAAGAAACAUGGUCUGUGGCUCUGAGAACUGAAAUGAUGGGAAAAAAUUAUAUCUGCAGGUCUACAGUGCUAAAGACGAGGCUUGACUAAAUGUAGGGUUGGGGACAUUCAGGAAUACUCAUAUUCUCUUGCUCAACCAGAAAAUGAGGCAAAAGGCCAGUGAAAUAAUAGUAACAGCAGUAAUAAUAUUGUAUAUUUAUAUGGUGCCUUUCAUCUCCCAGAUUUCCACACUGCCGUGUCUAGCUGACUGCAGAUACAAUAAUCACUUCACUCACCACCGACGUGGAACCACCCUUGGCAAGGCCAUGGCAGCUGUCAAACAGCACAUUAAGAAUUACUGCUACAAUUCGAAAGAUCACGAGGGCAUUUUUGAAACAGGCAAGAACCAGCCAGCUCUGACACUGCCACAGGUAAUGAACACGCUGAAAUCCCAAUGGUGGAAGAUGCAGAGAAUGUACUAAAUUCUGCCUGUGUGGAAAAACUGAAAUAGUAAGAAAAUCCUCAGCUGAGGUAGGGCCUCCCUGGUGUCUCUCUCUGUGGAAACUCUUUUUUUUUUUGAACACAAAGAACGUGAGGUUCUUUUGAAAUGAGAUGGGGUGGGGGUGGCGGGGAGGAGUUCCCCCCACCAUGUGAAUCUACCACCUUUUGUCUACCAGUAAGUGAUAUGAACAUCUUUGUGCAGUUCGGUAACCAGUGUUACUCUGUGUGUUAUUGCCUACUGUGUGUUCUUCUCUAAUGACGCUGUUUUAACAUUAGUUAGAAUGACUUAGGUGGAUAAACCUAUGGUUUGGAAAACACUGUGGGGCUAUAGGUGCUGUAUCACUGUAGGCUUCUAUUAAAUACCUGGUAUCCAGACAAAGAAUCAUCCAAAGACACUCACAGAUGUACAAUGUAAGUAAAACUGGAGGGAAUGCCAAUCAGCCUUUCUCCUCGUGACUAGUACUACAGAGUUUGUAUGUUCUAGGUCUAGGUAAACUCCCAGAUGAGGAAGGAAUGAGGCAGAAACAAGGCAAAGGCAAGAAUAACUCACUUCCCAGGCUCAAGUUACCAACAAAAGCAUGAAAGCCUCAGCCUGUAGUAUAAAUUAUGACCUAUCAACUCAACCAGAGUCAUAAUAAGAAGGGAGGAAUCAGAUGAGUAAGGCAAUAGGGGAAAAGCAAAUACUGUGAGUAAUGGCAACAAGAGGUUAGUUCCCUAGAAGUUGUCUAACCACAUUAGAUAGCACAGCUUAGUGACUGAGUCUGGGCCCAGCGUCUAGAGAAUAAAUCAAAUGGUUUUUUGUUGUUGAUAAAACA
RNAcentral lists this long non-coding RNA (1350 nucleotides) under Anser brachyrhynchus (Pink-footed goose). RNAcentral describes it as "lncRNA (ENSABRG00000021402.1)". Lineage: Eukaryota; Metazoa; Chordata; Aves; Anseriformes; Anatidae. The record is from RNAcentral.